Gasterosteus aculeatus aculeatus (three-spined stickleback) is the source of this 1528-nucleotide long non-coding RNA. The record is from Ensembl. NCBI's taxonomy places the organism in Eukaryota, Metazoa, Chordata, Actinopteri, Perciformes, Gasterosteidae.
ACAAGCAUCACAUGCAUAUAAAAGCAUCACUGUGAAGACCCAGACAACCUGCUGUUAUAUUGCUGUUGAAAUAAAGCCCACUGGGAAUGUCCCGUUGUACCUCCUUGUACAGGAGGAGGUUUUGGCUCUGGCUGCAGGAGAUAUCUUCCAGACACAGUUUUAACUCUCCUGCAGUUAAAACAACUUUUUGUGGAAGAUCCACGGGGGAGCCUUGAUUUUUGUUUGUGAUUGAGUGCUGACUUUACUGACCUGCAAUUAAACAGAGGGGUGUGGUGCAGGGGCUGAAUGGAAAAUUGGAGCAGCCACAUAGAUUAAAAAUGAUAAAUCUGUAUAUAAAUGUUAUAUUUUCAUAAAAGAUACAAAUAUUUCACAUUUAUCGAUACAACUUUAAUUAUUGUUGUUCAAUAAAAUUCAGAAAAUCUGAGAUGGUUUUAUACAGGUGCAACGAUGUCUCACUUAUUGAGACAAAAACAACUCAAUGCCUUAAGGGCAACAACUGGAAACUAUUCUGCAGUAAAUUGCACCAAUUGUGAAUCACCUCCACAAUGAUGCACAUCAAAACAGCCUUUUUGCAAGUCCUCCUCAAUAAUAAUGUGACUGAAAAAAUUGAGGAAUUGUUUUUUGACCCAUGGAAAUAAAUUGUAUGUUGAUAUAGAGUUACAGUUUUAAAUGACGUACACUGUAUGGGAUUGAGAUAGCGACAUGAAAUGCAUUUUCUGAAUAUUUGUAGUAUACUUGGUAAGAUGUUUCUCAUAUCAAAGUCUUUAAAGUGGCUUCCGUUAAGCUAAUACAUACCAACUAUUAGCUAUUAGCUGGAGACACAUAAAAGAGGAGUGUUUAAGUUCCAAUAAAUCAAGCCCGUCAACAGCCAUGUGUUAUGACCCAGACCGAUAUGGGAAAAGAGGGAAUUGUCCUCCAUAAAAUGUGGAAUGCAUGUUACUUGCUAAAUGACUUAACAGGGAACUGCAUUCAUAUGUGAGCUGGGCGACCAUACACAAUUAAAACUAAUUAAGUGUUGUCCUUGAAAAUAGCGUUUCCUUUAGCUGAAGUGUGAAGCACAGGGUAUCAUUUGCACCAUUUUUUUAUUGAAACCGUCCACUAACUUGGAUAUUUAUGAGGAUUUAUGUGAAUUUAAAUAGUCUGUACCUCUGAAGUGAUACAUCUCAACAUGGAGAGCUAGAUUAAUAAACAAAACCUGUUUUUUUCCAUUUAUGUCCCUUCCUUUAUUAUCUGGAUUCGGCUUUCAACUUAAUAGGCUACUUAAUAUUAGAUCAGCAAUAUAGUCUUUACUUCAACAUAGUCUCUGAAUUAUGCCUAAACUGCAGGGAAUAUUGAACAAUAAAUGCUUUGUGCAACCAGUUAUUCCCGGCACGUUUCCACUCAGCAGCAAGGCUCCCUAUCUGCACUCUGGGGACCAAUGGGAGACUAAAUCUGUUUAUUCACUCAACAGGUCAGUAUUUCUACUCACAGCUGCAGGAGUCUCAUGAAUAUUUCCCUGUAUAGAUUUUCAUGUUAUUUUUAUUUUUAU